GACCUGGCUGGGCGGUCCGCUUAACGGCGUGUACUGUCUGGCUGGGCCUUACCUCUUGGUGAGCCGGCGUGCCCUUUAUUGGUGUGCGUCGGGGAACCAGGACUUUUACUUUGAAAAAAUUAGAGUGUUUAAAGCAGGCAUUCGCUUGAAUACAUUAGCAUGGAAUAAUAAAAUAGGACU
RNAcentral lists this ribosomal RNA (180 nucleotides) under uncultured Glomeromycotina. Its description in RNAcentral is "partial small subunit ribosomal RNA". The stretch from base 92 to 180 matches the Rfam family "Eukaryotic small subunit ribosomal RNA", at positions 738 to 829 of the family's 1831-position model. Lineage: Eukaryota; Fungi; Glomeromycota. The record is from RNAcentral.